RNAcentral lists this ribosomal RNA (460 nucleotides) under uncultured bacterium. RNAcentral's name for it is "partial 16S ribosomal RNA". It matches the Rfam family "Bacterial small subunit ribosomal RNA", at positions 338 to 795 of the family's 1533-position model. The record is from RNAcentral.
CCUACGGGAGACAGCAGUGAGGAAUAUUGGUCAAUGGACGAGAGUCUGAACCAGCCAAGUAGCGUGAAGGAUGACUGCCCUAUGGGUUGUAAACUUCUUUUAUAAAGGAAUAAAACGAGGCACGUGUGCCCUUUUGCAUGUACUUUAUGAAUAAGGAUCGGCUAACUCCGUGCCAGCAGCCGCGGUAAUACGGAGGAUCCGAGCGUUAUCCGGAUUUAUUGGGUUUAAAGGGAGCGUAGAUGGGUUGUUAAGUCAGUUGUGAAAGUUUGCGGCUCAACCGUAAAAUUGCAAUUGAUACUGGCAGUCUUGAGUACAGUUGAGGUAGGCGGAAUUCGUGGUGUAGCGGUGAAAUGCUUAGAUAUCACGAAGAACCCCGAUUGCGAAGGCAGCUUACUAAACUGUGACUGACAUUGAUGCUCGAAAGUGUGGGUAUCAAACAGGAUUAGAUACCCGUGUAGAC